Molecule: long non-coding RNA, 7466 nt
Organism: Impatiens glandulifera
Lineage: Eukaryota; Viridiplantae; Streptophyta; Magnoliopsida; Ericales; Balsaminaceae
Exons: 2
Source: RefSeq, a predicted model, not a curated record
UUAGGCAUCCAUCCAACUUCGCUGCCUGGUUUCCUUCCUCAAUCAAACUUUUGUUUCCGGCAAUUCGAGAUCUUCUUCUCUUCGCCGAUCUUAUUGAUUCAUCAUCGAUCUUAUUGUUGAUUCAUUAUCGAUCUUAUUGUUGAUUCAUCAUCGAUCUUAUUGAUUCAUCAUCGAUCUUAUUGAUUCAUCAUCGAUCUUAUUGUUGAUUCAUUAUCGAUCUUAUUGUUGAUUCAUUAUCGAUCUUAUUGUUGAUUCAUCAUCGAUCUUAUUGAUUCAUCAUCGAUCUUAUUGAUUCAUCAUCGAUCUUAUUGAUUCAUCAUCGGCUAGUAUCUAUGAUCUAUUUCUAUCGUCCACCUUUUCUUCUCUUAACUGACCGCAGGUUGUUGAUUACUCUGGCUGAAGGAGUUAUGAUCUGAGAUGACAGGUCUUGUUUUUUCAAUAAGUUUAGUAUAUGUGAUCCGUUUCUUGCGUCGAACAUUUUCUUCUGCAGAUUGUUAAGAACGUCUAUCUAUCAACUCUUGUUAUGGUUGGCUAUGCGGAUUAGGUUAGUUUUUAGGGAGAACUAUUAUUGACAGGUCAUCUUCGAUGGUUCUAUCCCUGGAUCAAGAAGCGUAGUAGAUACAAUUAAAUCCUCUAUUCCCGAUACCUCUAACUAUUUACCUAGGUCUUUCCAUAUGGCUGACGGUUUUCAAUUAUUUCCUUCCGGAUCAAUCACGAUUUACCAAUAAGGGAUUCAGAAUAAUUUGCUUAUUGGUGGUGAAAAACUUGGAGAUAAAUUCUUGAUUCUCGGUGGACUUUUAGUUUAGUUUAUAAUAUUAAGAUGUCGUUUUUAUGUUAUUUUUUAUAUUAGGGUUAACAAACAGGAAGAGGAUAAUUUUGUUUUUGGUUGUCUUGGUUGGAAGGUUGACUUUUAUGUUGGGAUGAUGGACAAUUUGGAAAAAGCAGGCCUCUGGUUAUGACAGUAUUCAAAUUCCUAUUUUGUGAUAUUAAAUUAUGAUUAGGGUUAUUAUAGGUAGGAGAUGACUUGUUCUUCUUACUUGCCUUAGGUUGCCUUUAUGUUAUAUAACGGAGGAAUGGGAGUACUAUUCAAUCCUGGACACUCUAUGGAUGAACAACUGGAUAUAAAAAGAACAGGCUUAUCCGUCUAAACUUUGAAUUUAUUCACUUAGUAAUUUGAUUAUGAUUAGAAAAGUUUAUAGGUAUGCUGUGGUUGUGUUCUUAUUGGCGUAGGAUUAAUUUUUCCUUGGAUCGUGGAGUAGUUAAUGUUCAAGCCUGGAUAGAUGUGCAAUUGGGCUGAUGGACGGAUGUUAUUAAAAACAGGCUUCUGGUUAUGGUUGUCUUUGGAUUUGUUCACCCUUGAUAUAUUUAUUUGUGUAUUGAUUAUGAUAAAGAAUACUUCUUAGCUAAGAUAUGAUGUGUUCUUAUUGACCUUGAUAGGAUAAUUUUUUCUUUGGAUCGUGGAGUGGUGAAUAUUCAACCUGUCUCUGCACAAUCUAUUUGGCAAAUGGAUGGAUGAAAUAUAAACUAACUAUCUUCUGACUUCUGGUUAUGGGGUAUCUUUUAAUUUAUUCCCCAUUGACAUAUGUUUUUGUGUGUUAUGACUGAGAAUAAAUUGUUAUGCUUUUAGGGAGAACUUUUAUUGUCAGGUUGUCGUCGGUGUUUUUAUCCCUGGAUCAAGAAGCGUAGUAGAUACAAUUAAAUCCUCUAUUCCCGAUAUCUCUAACUAUUUACCCUAGGUCUUUCCAUGUCGGUUUUCAAUUAUUUCCUUCCGGAUCACGAUUUACCAAUAAGGGAAAGAAUAAUUUGAUUUUCUUGGUGUUGUAGGUGGUGAAAAACUUGGAGAUAAAUUCUUAAUUCUCUUUACGGUGGACUUUUAGUUUAUAAUAUUAAGAUGUUGUUUUUAUGUUAUUUUUUAUAUUAGGGUUAACAAACAGGAAGAGGAUAAUUUUGUUUUUGGUUGUCUUGGUUGGAAGGUUGACUUUUAUGUUGGGAUGAUGGACAAUUUGGAAAAAGCAGGCCUCUGGUUAUGACAGUAUUCAAAUUCCUAUUUUGUGAUAUUAAUUUAUGAUUAGGGUUAUUAUAGGUAGGAGAUGACUUGUUCUUCUUACUUGCCUUAGGUUGCCUUUGUGUUAUAUAACGGAGGAAUGGGAGUACUAUUCAAUCCUGGACACUGGAUGAACGACUGGAUAUAAAAAGAACAGGCUUAUCCGUCUAAAUUUUGAAUUUAUUCACUUAGUAAUUUGAUUAUGAUUAGAAAAGUUUAUAGGUAUGCGGUGGUUGUGUUCUUAUUGGCGUAGGGUUAAUUUUUCCUUGGAUCGUGGAGUGGUCAAUGUUCAAGCCUGGCUAGAUGUUCAAUUGGGCUGAUGGAUGGAUGUUAAUUAAAACAGGCUUCUGGUUAUGGUUGUCUUUGGAUUUGUUCACCCUUGAUAUAUUUAUUUGUGUAUUGAUUAUGAUAAAGAAUACUUCUUAGCUAAGAUAUGAUGUGUUCUUAUUGACCUUGAUAGGAUAAUUUUUUAUUUGGAUCGUGGAGUGGUGAAUAUUCAACCUGUCCCUGCACAAUCUAUUUGGCAAAUGGAUGGAUGAAAUAUAAACUAACUAUCUUCUGACUUCUGGUUAUGGGGGUAUCUUUUAAUUUAUUCCCCAUUGACGUAUGUUUUUGUGUGUUAUGACUGAGAAUAAAUUGUUAUGCUUUUAGGGAGAACUAUUAUUGUCAGGUUGUCGUCGGUGUUUUUAUCCCUGGAUCAAGAAGCGUAGUAGAUACAAUUAAAUCCUCUAUUCCCGAUAUCUCUAACUAUUUACCCUAGGUCUUUCCAUGUCGGUUUUCAAUUAUUUCCUUUCGGAUCACGAUUUACCAAUAAGGGAAGGAAUAAUUUGAUUUUCUUGGUGUUGUAGGUGGUGAAAAACUUGGAGAUAAAUUCUUAAUUAUCGUUACGGUGGACUUUUAGUUUAUAAUAUUAAGAUGUUGUGGUGGACUUUUAGUUUAUAAUAUUAAGAUGUUGUGUUUAUGUUAUUUUUUUAUAUUAGGGUUAACAAACAGGAAGAGGAUAAUUUUGUUUUUGGUUGUCUUGGUUGGAAGGUUGGCUUUUAUGUUGGGAUGAUUGACAAUUUGGAAAAAGCAGGCCUCUGGUUAUGACAGUAUUCAAAUUCCUAUUUUGUGAUAUUAAAUUAUGAUUGGGAUUAUUAUAGGUAGGAGAUGACUUGUUCUUCUUACUUCCCUUAGGUUGCCUUUAUGUUAUAUAACGGAGGAUUUGGAGUACUAUUCAAUCCUGGACACUCUAUGGAUGAACAAUUGGAUAUAAAAAGAACAGGCUUAUCCGUCUAAACUUUGAAUUUAUUCACUUAGUAAUUUGAUUAUGAUUAGAAAAGUUUAUAGGUAUGCGGUGGUUGUGUUCUUAUUGGCGUAGGAUUAAUUUUUCCUUGGAUCGUGGAGUGGUCAAUGUUCAAGCCUGGCUAGAUGUUCAAUUGGGCUGAUGGACGGAUGUUAUUAAAAACAGGCUUCUGGUUAUGGUUGUCUUUGGAUUUGUUAACCCUUGAUAUAUUUAUUUGUGUAUUGAUUAUGAUAAAGAAUACUUCUUAGCUAAGAUAUGAUGUGUUCUUAUUGACCUUGAUAGGAUAAUUUUUUCUUUGGAUCGUGGAGUGGUGAAUAUUCAACCUGUCUCUGGACUAUCUAUUUGGCAAAUGGAUGGAUGAAAUAUAAACUAACUAUCUUCUGACUUCUGGUUAUGGGGUAUCUUUUAAUUUAUUCCCCAUUGAUAUAAUUGUUUAUGUGUUAUGACUAAGAAUAAUACUUCAUAAGGUAGGUGAUGAUGGCAGAUGCAUUCUCCUUCAAUUGAAGUCAUCCGUUUUUUUUUUCCUGAUCUUCAAAUAGUCAUUGAGUUCAUAUUUUGUGUUAUUUCCCCACAAAAUAGUCUUUCAUGUAAAAUAUAUUUUUCACUUGUGAUUUUAGGAUUGCUUAAUGAUGCGAACUCCAUGAGUGGAUCUAACAAUCUUUCAACCAAAUUAUCCGGUUUGAUUACCGUCUUCAAAUAGAGUCCUUAAAAGUUCUCAUUUUGUGUUAUUUCAUCAUUAAUUUAUGAUAUAAUAUAAUUUGCUCUUGUGUUUUUAGGAUGGAGGAUGCUAUCUCUAUAAUUUUAAACAAUUUAUCUGAUCUCGGUUGCCCUGGUCUUCAAAUAGAGCCUUCCUUUGUGUUAUUUCAUCAAGAUUAGUCUAUAUAAAAUAUAGUGUUUCCUUCGUGGUAAAUUUUUGUUGUUCUUCUUUUAUAUAUUCUUUCCUUGGAUGAUGGAGAACCUGAGAUAAAUAUUGGCUACUAGUCUUUUGAUAUCUUCCCAAUUUCAGCCUUUACAACAUUCAUAUACUCAUGUUCUCAAUUUAAUUUACUACAUACAAUUUAAUUUUCCUUUCUAGAUGAUUUUAAUGACAUGUUGUCUCUUUGCUCCGCGCCUCCGCCAGUUAAACCUCUAUCUCGUGUAAUUUCUUCAUUUUACGACGAUCAUCUUGGCUUGUGAAAAUUGAACCUUUUAAUCAGGAUUUUUUCUCUCAGAUAGAUCACAGUGCUUCUUCAAAAUUAUUUAAGUGACUAGAUUUUCAUGAUGUUUUGGAUCCAUUUUCAAGAUCUCUCAAAAUUUGGAUUUUCCCUCUUCUAUUUUGUACAGAUAUAGAGAGCUUUAUGGAGUUUUUCCUGCCUGGUUUGAACUCUCUCUCUCUCUCUAUUAUCUUCCCUUUAACUUGCCAAAUGUUUAAUCUUAGUUAGAGAGAGUACAUGAUAUUUUUGCUCACCUUGCAGUAUUAGGUCAUUAUUUGGGUAGUUUCACUAAUCUUUUGUAUUCGUUUAUCAUAUUUUAUAAAAAAAAAUUGGUUCAUUUUGUGUUUGUCUAGUAGAAUUUUAUUGAUAAUAAAUACUUCCUUAUUGCAUAAUUUUGACAUUUUAGCUUGUAAGGGUACACCUAUAAGUUUUCCCUGUUGACGUUGUAGGAACUUUCUUUUUAGAAAAGCUUUCCAUAUUCUAGCCUGCAAAAGCACCUGUAAGUUCUUACUGGUUAUUGAAAAGUCAUUUUCCUUUGUCUUAUAUUCUAAGGUAUUUUGAGGGGUGAAGAUGCAUUCUUGAUGAUCUCUGUAGAUUUACUCCCUUAAUGUUUUCCUGUAAUAGAAUGUUUCUCUAAUUUUGGAUGCUAGAGCGUACAUGCUCUUGCAGUUGGUUAUCAUGUUGGUGUCAUCUUCAGCACGCCCACCCUUUGGUAAAUUUUAAAUUUGUUUUGAUAAGUGACAUUAGAAUUGUAUUUUUGUACACCAAUUAUUUUGCCUUCAGGAGGUACCUUUUAAGUUCUUCCCUGCGCUGGACUUGUAAAAACUUUCUCCUUGGAUAAGUUUGAUCUUAUUGUCUGCUGCAAGUCCAUCCUUUUCUAUUGAGCUUGGUUAGUUUCUACGGUGCUAAACAUAUGGUUUGUACUUUAUUUAUUGCUUGUCAUGGAAAGUUGAUAUGUAGGGAUUGUUUUAUUUUGGAGUUGUUGUUGACCUCUUACUGAUUUAAAGUUCCUCUUAUAUUUACUCUACAGAAAACCAACUUUCAUAAUAUAGCAUUGGAUAACUUUGAUAAUGUUAUCUCUGUUGUUGACUUUGAUACUACUACAACCUGGUGUAGCAAGUUUUUUCAUGUUUAUUGAGUGCUAUGUUCCUUCACUGCUUUGGAGCUAGCUACUGUCCCUUGUAUCUUUGUCUAGCGUUUCUCAAUUUUUGGACAACUUGGUAGAUGCCUUUAAUGUUGGUUAUUAGGGAUGGGGUCAUCUACAUCUCGGUUGUUCUUCCACACAACAUAACAUUCACUAGGAUGCCUGUAAGGACUUCCUCUCUUAGGUGAGCUAUGAUGUUAUAUCCCGCAAGGUAUACAUGUAAGUUAUUCCCUGCUAUUAUGUUAGCUAUUCCUUUUCCUUUCUAUCCAAGUGUUGUUCUAGGGCAAUUUGAGGGAAGGCUACGAACACUUGGUGAACUCUUUUGUUUUAUCCCUAAUCUUGUACCUUUACUGGAAUGCUUCUUGAUAUCCAUGCAGUUGGUUGGAUGGUGUCAUCUUUAUGACGGAAAUUCCCUGCUUUCCUAUGUUUGAUGAUCUAGUUGGCAACAUUGACAUUCCAUUUAUGCAAAUGCUAUAUUGAUGGUUCGGAGAAUGUUUUGCCUCAAUUUGAAUUAAUGAAGUCUUUGGCUCAAUAAUGUUUUUUGAUAAGUGCAUUCAGUUGUCCUUUUCAAUAACGGUGGCAGCUUUGGUUAUAUUCUUCAGUGCUAAAUAUACGAUUUAUAUGGUGGUUGGACCUUCACGAUCUAUUGUUUGUCAUGGAUAGCUGAUAUGCAGGAUUGGUUUAUUUUGGAGUUGUGGAUGGUCUCUUAUGGUACACAUUUUCCUUUCAAGUAUACUAGUAAAAUUUCCAGCAUAUCCAAUACGUUCAACAAAAAGUGGCCUUUUGACCUAAUUUACUCGUGCACAUCCAAAAUCUUAUAUAAUAAUGUUUUCUGCAUAUUCAAAUACUUUCAGCAAAAAGUAGUGGCAUUUUGACAUAGUUUACUGGUGCAUUCAAGUGUCUUGGUUAUUAUUACCAGUCAUGUCCAGUAUUAUCAGCAAAAAGUAUAAAGUUGCCGUUUAUGGUUUUAUGGUAUCAUUUUAGAUUGAUGCUACUUGCGAAGCUUCCAUCAAACCCGUUUUGCUUAGUUCUCCAGUUCUUAUUUGGCUUUCUGGGAGGAAUGGUGAACAAGGAAAUAUAUUUAAGAAUGCAUUUUACUGUUUUGGAUGAUGUUAUUUAAUUGAGAUGCCUGGGAAAUGUCAUAUUCCACAAUGAUAUACUAGGACUCUCUUGAUGGUGUGCUUCAAUGAAAUUUAUCAUUCUAAAUACUAGGACUGCAAUAGUGUUUGUUCCUGCUGGGAAGAGGUGUUAGAAUCUCCUUUGAUUGAUGUUACUUGCGAAUAUAUGAUAUACGAACUGUGAAUGCUCUAGAUCUCCAUGGAACAACCCCAUUUUGCUUAAUUCUGCAGCUCUUAUUUGGCUUCUUUGGGAGGAGGAGGGGUGGUGAACCAACUGAAUUCUCUAUAUAUAUUCUGCCUGGGAAAUAUCUUAUUCCACAAUGAUAGACAUUUAGCUCUUUGUCUUGAUGGUCUGCAAGAGUGUUAAUGAUGUUCUGUUUGAUAUGAAUCAACUGGUGAAUGGGUAGGUGUUAGAAGCUUCUUGAUGUCUGCUGCUGAAAAAUUGUCUAACACUCCUUUGUUAAUGCAUAAGAGAGUUUAUUGUGUGUGGGACACACUUUGGUAGAAGAAACUCUGCUAGUGGCUUAUGUGGGAGUUUUAUUUGAUAUAUGAAACUCAUUUGUUAUAUUCUUGGUUUCACUUGGAGAAAUGUUACUUUCUAUUUGCUUGCGUCAAAUAUUUUGCACUUGCUUUGCUAUCUUGGCAAUCUCGCUGAGAAGUAACCACUGUUAUUAUUUUGUCA